AGAGUUUGAUCAUGGCUCAGGAUGAACGCUGGCGGCGUGCCUAAGACAUGCAAGUCGAAUGUGCUCCGGCCUUACGCCGGAGUAACAUGGCGAACGGGUGAGUAAUACCUAGGAACGUAUCUUUAGUUGAGGAUAUCCCGUCGAAAGACGGAGUAAUACUCAAUGUGGCCGCAAGGCUAAAGUCGCAAGACGCUAAAGAAGCGGCCUGGGCACCAUCAGCUAGUUGGUAAGGUAACGGCUUACCAAGGCUAUGACGGUUAGGGGUCCCGAGAGGGAGAACCCCCACACUGGAACUGCGACACGGUCCAGACUCCUACGGGAGGCAGCAGUUUGGAAUUUUGGACAAUGGGCGAAAGCCUGAUCCAGCGACGCCGCGUGGACGAUGAAGGCCUUCGGGUUGUAAAGUCCUUUUGCCACCGAACAAUUUUUGAGCGUAGGUGGAGAAUAAGAGGUUGCUAACUCUGUGCCAGCAGCAGCGGUAAUACAGAGACCUCAAGCGUUAUCCGGAAUCAUUGGGCGUAAAGCGUACCGAUAGGUGGUUUUACAAGUCAGAAGUGAAAUCUCUCAGCUUAACUGGGAGACUGUCUUUUGAUACUGUAAAACUAGAGGGGCAAAGAGGAAGCUGGAACAAACGGUGUAGUAGUGAAAUGCGUUGAUAUCGUUUGGAACACCAAUAGCGUAGGCAGGCUUCUGGGUGCCACCUGACACUGCUAGGACGAAAGCGUGGGGAGCGAUAAGGAUUAGAUACCCUAGUAGUCC
This 759-nucleotide ribosomal RNA is filed under the name uncultured bacterium. RNAcentral's name for it is "bacterial SSU rRNA". It matches the Rfam family "Bacterial small subunit ribosomal RNA", at positions 8 to 796 of the family's 1533-position model. The record is from RNAcentral.